CAGUACGCAGUGGCAGUUUUUGAGCAGUUUGAACUGCAGGAGGUUUUUCGCAAUUGUGGCUAUUCUAUAUAGCACCCACGCCCUUUUGAGCCUUCCCUGAGCUGAGGAAGGAGGAGAUCAAGGCUUUUUUUCCACCAUUGGAGAGGACUUGGAGCUUUGUUAAAGGCUUGUUGGAGAGGAGAACUUCAACCCUAUUUGAUUUGGAGCCUAGUUGGGAGCUUCUUGAGAGGGCUUUUGGAGCUUGAUUAAUUGGAUUAGAACCUUCC
Ananas comosus (pineapple) is the source of this 266-nucleotide long non-coding RNA. RefSeq lists it as uncharacterized. NCBI's taxonomy places the organism in Eukaryota, Viridiplantae, Streptophyta, Magnoliopsida, Poales, Bromeliaceae. The transcript has 3 exons. The record is from RefSeq and is a predicted model, not a curated record.